CAUCAACAAAAAUGUCUAUUUUCAGCCUAAACCCCUUUUUUGACCACUGUAUUUGUAUAGUAUAUUUAAUAGCCUAUUUUUCAUACUCACUCAAAUGUCUACAAAGCACUUCAAACUAUUUAGCAGACUAAGUUUUAGAUAUGUUAAUCUAUGCUUUUUUUUUUUUGGCAGAUAUUGGCCUACUACCCAUUGCCACCCCCCUAACCCUUCCAUCCCCGCCUUCAAGCAAAGAUGCACAUUACCUAAAGUUAGGGAUCAGAAAAGCAAAAAGACAGGAAAAAAAAGGCCAAGGAAAUAUGUUCUAUAAUUUGUUUCCAUAAAAAGAAGAGUGUUGAAAAUGGAAAAAGUUAAGGUAAAGUGAAAUUCAUUUUUUUCUUAUUUUAAAUUUCUCUUUAUAUCUGUAU
RNAcentral lists this long non-coding RNA (404 nucleotides) under Felis catus (domestic cat). RNAcentral describes it as "lncRNA (ENSFCAG00000041479.2)". Lineage: Eukaryota; Metazoa; Chordata; Mammalia; Carnivora; Felidae. The record is from RNAcentral.